This 769-nucleotide ribosomal RNA is filed under the name uncultured soil bacterium. Its description in RNAcentral is "bacterial SSU rRNA". It matches the Rfam family "Bacterial small subunit ribosomal RNA", at positions 8 to 796 of the family's 1533-position model. The record is from RNAcentral.
AGAGUUUGAUCAUGGCUCAGGACGAACGCUGGCGGCGUGCUUAACACAUGCAAGUCGAGCGGUAAGGCUCCUUCGGGAGUACACGAGCGGCGAACGGGUGAGUAACACGUGAGCAAUCUGCCCUUCACUUCGGGAUAACUCCGGGAAACCGGUGCUAAUACCGAAUACGACCACUUCAGGCAUCUGACGGUGGUGGAAAGUUCCGGCGGUGAAGGAUGAGCUCGCGGCCUAUCAGCUUGUUGGUGAGGUAAUGGCUCACCAAGGCGUCGACGGGUAGCUAGUCUGAGAGGACGAAUAGCCACACUGGGACUGAGACACGGCCCAGACUCCUACGGGAGGCAGCAGUGGGGAAUCUUAGACAAUGGGCGCAAGCCUGAUCUAGCCAUGCCGCGUGGGUGAUGAAGGCCUUAGGGUCGUAAAGCCCUUUCGCCGGGGAAGAUAAUGACGGUACCCGGUAAAGAAACCCCGGCUAACUCCGUGCCAGCAGCCGCGGUAAUACGGAGGAUGCAAGCGUUAUCCGGAAUUAUUGGGCGUAAAGCGUCCGCAGGUGGCUCAUCAAGUCUGCUGUCAAAGGCAGGGGCUUAACCCCUGAAAGGCAGUGGAAACUGGAGAGCUAGAGUGCAGUAGGGGUAGAGGGAAUUCCCGGUGUAGCGGUGAAAUGCGUAGAGAUCGGGAAGAACAUCGGUGGCGAAAGCGCUCUGCUGGACUGCAACUGACACUAAAGGACGAAAGCUAGGGGAGCGAAUGGGAUUAGAUACCCCCGUAGUCC